GACAGAGGGGGCAAGCGUUGCUCGGAAUCACUGGGCGUAAAGGGCGCGUAGGCGGGCUGGCAAGUCGGUCGUGAAAUCCCUCGGCUCAACCGAGGAGCGUCGGCCGAUACUGCCGUUCUUGAGGGAUGCAGAGGAGACUGGAAUUCCCGGUGUAGCGGUGAAAUGUGUAGAGAUCGGGAGGAACACCGGUGGCGAAGGCGGGUCUCUGGGCAUCUCCUGACGCUGAGGCGCUAAGGCCAGGGGAGCAAACGGG
Molecule: ribosomal RNA, 253 nt
Filed under: uncultured bacterium
Lineage: Bacteria
Description: partial 16S ribosomal RNA
Rfam family: Bacterial small subunit ribosomal RNA
Source: RNAcentral